AUACUUACCUGGACAGGGUCAAUGGGUGAUCAAAAAGGCCCAUGGCCUAGAGUAGUGACUUCCAUUGCACUUAGGAAGGGUGCUUCUCUAAGGUCUACCCAAGUGGUGGAGCCUAUGUCAUAAUUUGUGGCAGUGGGGGCCUGCGUUCGCGCGGCCUCUUC
Molecule: small nuclear RNA, 161 nt
Filed under: Lupinus albus (white lupine)
Lineage: Eukaryota; Viridiplantae; Streptophyta; Magnoliopsida; Fabales; Fabaceae
Description: U1 spliceosomal RNA
Rfam family: U1 spliceosomal RNA
About the family: U1 is a small nuclear RNA (snRNA) component of the spliceosome (involved in pre-mRNA splicing). Its 5' end forms complementary base pairs with the 5' splice junction, thus defining the 5' donor site of an intron. There are significant differences in sequence and secondary structure between metazoan and yeast U1 snRNAs, the latter being much longer (568 nucleotides as compared to 164 nucleotides in human).
Source: Rfam by way of RNAcentral